UCAACUUCUGAUUUCUUAAACGACCAUGGAUUUUGUCGUUCGUGUCGAUUCGGCUGGUUUUCUUCUCACCGGCAAACGGACUGCAUUCAAUCGUUGUCAUUAACAACCUUCUUAACUCCUUCUCCCCACUCCAUCCAUGAUUCUUCAUACAAUGCAUCCUUCACUAUCUUCUGUUCUCUGAAUCUGCAGCUAUAAAUAGGUGAGUUUGUAUCCGUAAAAUUCAUCAUUUGAUUUCCUCUCAUAUAAAUCCAAAACUUCUGCAGAUUAGAAUGGCCAACUUCGCUCUCCUUCCCGCUGACUUGAAAGUUGGGCACAGUGUAGCACCACCGUCGAAGUUCGCCAG
This 343-nucleotide long non-coding RNA is filed under the name Brassica napus (rape). RNAcentral describes it as "long non-coding RNA (BNAP_LNC011126)". Lineage: Eukaryota; Viridiplantae; Streptophyta; Magnoliopsida; Brassicales; Brassicaceae. The record is from RNAcentral.